RNAcentral lists this ribosomal RNA (774 nucleotides) under uncultured Neocallimastigales. RNAcentral's name for it is "partial large subunit ribosomal RNA". It matches the Rfam family "Eukaryotic large subunit ribosomal RNA", at positions 24 to 644 of the family's 3401-position model. The record is from RNAcentral. Lineage: Eukaryota; Fungi; Neocallimastigomycota; Neocallimastigomycetes; Neocallimastigales.
UAUCUCUGUAGAGUCUGCAUAUCAAUAAGCGGAGGAAAAGAAACUAACAAGGAUUCCCUUAGUAACGGCGAGUGAAGCGGGAAGAGCUCAAAUUUGAAAUCUUCAAGGUUCUACCUUGACGAAUUGUAGUUUAAAGAAGUGUUUUCUGUUAGAUGAGUAGCAAAAGUUCCUUGGAAUGGGACAUCAUAGAGGGUGAGAAUCCCGUAUUUGGUUAUUCAUUCUAGCUUUGUGAUACACUUUCAAAGAGUCGGAUUGUUUGGGAAUGCAGUCCAAAAUGGGUGGUAAAUUUCAUCUAAAGCUAAAUAUUGGCGAGAGACCGAUAGCGAACAAGUACCGUGAGGGAAAGAUGAAAAGAACUUUGAAAAGAGAGUUAAACAGUACGUGAAAUUGUCAAAAGGGAAGCGUUCGACACCAGUGUUGUUUUCUCGAAAAUCAAUUAAAAAUGGCUUGAUUUUGUGUUGUAUUGACCUUAAAAGCUUUCUUCACUUUUUUCAUGUCUUUUUUAAUGCACUUUUCGUUUAACAAGUCAACAUCAGUUUCUUUUGUUGUAAAAAGGUCAUUGGAAGGUGGCUUUCUUUUCGGAGAAAGUGUUUAUAGCCUUUGACUCCUGCAAUCGGAGAGACUGAGGUCUGCAGCGUAGAUCCUUCUGGAUUAGAUUCAUUUGUGCUAAGUUACAACCGUUUAUAGACAACUUGUUGACUAUAUUCGAUCCUGUAGCUUAUUCGCUUAUGUAAUUUUACCUACGCUUAGGAUGUUGACUGAUAUGUAGUCGUA